GUCGCAGGUUCGAAUCCUGCACGACCCACCAAUUUCAGCAUUUAACUCAGAUGCUGAACGUGAAGGAUAACGUUGCGUCAGCAACGGCCCGAAGGGCGAGGCAAAGCCGAGCCAUCCUGCACGACCUACCA
RNAcentral lists this small RNA (131 nucleotides) under Klebsiella pneumoniae. RNAcentral's name for it is "partial RtT sRNA". It matches the Rfam family "RtT RNA", at positions 34 to 130 of the family's 130-position model. From Rfam's summary of the family: This family represents a bacterial cis-regulatory element known as RtT RNA. The exact function of RtT is unknown although it is thought that it may be involved in changing the cellular response in relation to amino acid starvation. Lineage: Bacteria; Pseudomonadati; Pseudomonadota; Gammaproteobacteria; Enterobacterales; Enterobacteriaceae. The record is from RNAcentral.